GAAAUCACCGGCUUAGCCGGUAUAAAAUUCUAUCCACCCUUGUGUGCAAACAAUGGAAAAAAGAGAAAAUUGGAUACUUUUUUUUUUGUAUCCAACUUCUCUAAAAAUUUUUAUAAACUCCAUCAAAUUUUGAAUGAAAACAAUUUUUUUUAAUAGAAAAAAUAUUAUA
Molecule: unclassified non-coding RNA, 169 nt
Filed under: soil metagenome
Description: partial internal transcribed spacer 1
Source: RNAcentral